SACAUGACUCUCGGCAACGGAUAUCUCGGCUCUCGCAUCGAUGAAGAACGUAGCAAAAUGCGAUACCUGGUGUGAAUUGCAGA
This 83-nucleotide ribosomal RNA is filed under the name Miscanthus sinensis (eulalia). RNAcentral's name for it is "5.8S rRNA". It matches the Rfam family "5.8S ribosomal RNA", at positions 1 to 78 of the family's 154-position model. Rfam says of the family: 5.8S ribosomal RNA (5.8S rRNA) is a component of the large subunit of the eukaryotic ribosome. It is transcribed by RNA polymerase I as part of the 45S precursor that also contains 18S and 28S rRNA. The record is from RNAcentral. Lineage: Eukaryota; Viridiplantae; Streptophyta; Magnoliopsida; Poales; Poaceae.